RNAcentral lists this ribosomal RNA (253 nucleotides) under uncultured bacterium. RNAcentral describes it as "partial 16S ribosomal RNA". It matches the Rfam family "Bacterial small subunit ribosomal RNA", at positions 524 to 776 of the family's 1533-position model. The record is from RNAcentral.
GACGGAGGAUGCAAGCGUUAUCCGGAAUUAUUGGGCGUAAAGCGUCCGUAGGUGGUUACGAAAGUCUGUUGUUAAAGCCCACAGCUCAACUGUGGAUCGGCGAUGGAAACUGCGUGACUUGAGUGUGGUAGGGGUAGAGGGAAUUCCUAGUGUAGCGGUGAAAUGCGUAGAUAUUAGGAAGAACACCAGUGGCGAAGGCGCUCUACUGGGCCAUAACUGACACUGAUGGACGAAAGCUAGGGGAGCGAAAGGG